CCCCUAGCCUUGGAAUUUCCAUAUACCACUGGUGUGGCCCCUAAAAAUCAAACAAAACAAAACAAAAACAAAAACAAAAAAACCCCUGCAGUUUGGGUUACCAUCAGUCACCCUCCUAAGACUUCCUAAAUUCCUGCAGUAACAUUAGUUUAGAGAUGUGGUAAUAUUUUUCUUAAAGACCUUUUAGGCUUCUAUUGAAUAAUUCAACAAUCUAAUGGAACUCAUAUCAUUGGAUCCUAGAUUUCCUCUAUUUAGAGGAAACAUAGACUCAUUUAUAGAUGAGUGGUCUCUAAAGUGAAGUAUUUGUACCUGGUGGACAUACAAGACAACCUUUUGGAGAAGAGUAAGAAAAUAUUUCAAUUAAGAUUUAUUUAUAUAUUUAGCCACAUCUGCGGCUUGUGGAAGUUCCCCGGGCCAGGAAUCAAACCUGUGCCAUAGUAGCAACUAGAGCCACAGCAAUGACAAUGUCAGAUCCUUAACCGGCUGAACCACCAGGGAACUCCUGACAUUUAUUUAUUUAUUUAUUUAUUAUCGCUGCACCCACAGCAUAUGGAAGUUCCCAGCAGGCUAGGUGUUGACUCGGAGCUGCAGCUGCAGGCCUACACCACAGCCACAGCAACACCAAUCCUGCUGCUUGCAGUAGCAUGGAACCCUUAACCCAGAAAUAAGUUUUGUUUUCAAGUUCCAGUCACAGCAGGCUCCCGCCUCUCAGGGUCUCUGUGAUUCUCUAAACUGCCAACUUCUUACAAUAUUAUUUCUAAUUUGGAGUUCCCUUCAUGGCUCAAAGGGAGCGAAUCUGACCAGUAACCCUGAGGAUACAGGUUCGAUACCUGGCCUCACUCAGUGGAUUAAGGAUCUGGCAUUGCCAAGUGAACUGUGGUGUAGGUUGCAGAUGAAGCUCAGAACCCGCAUUGCUGUGGCUGUGGUGUAGGCUGGCAGCUGUGGCUCUGAUUUGACCCCUAGCCUGGGAACCUCCAUAUGCUGCAAGUGCAGCCCUAAAAANNNNNNNNNNNAAAAAAAAAAAAAAAAGAAGAAGACUCAAACAAUUUUGCAGGCGACCCUUAAGUUAUUCUUUGGUGUUCUGUUUUUUAGGUAAAGUUGUCUCAGUUCAUCUUUCCUCCUAAUACGUGAUCUAUUGACUCUCCAAUUGUUUCUGCUCAAAGCAAGAUCUCAUUGGUUGUUUUUGUGCAAAGUUGAUGCAGUAGAUAGAGCCCUCGAGGCAGACUAUGCCCGCAGCCUUCUGGACAACCUUGAACAGGACUCUUUUCUUCUCUGGGCUUUGGUGUCCUCAUCUGUUAAAUGAAAGAGUUAUGCUAGGUGAUCUCCAGAGUCUCUGAAAGCACAAACUUUUUUUAAGUGCUGCACCCACGGCAUAUGGAUGUUCCUAGGCUAGGGGUCUAAUCACAGCAAUGCCAGAUCCGAGCCACAUUUACCACGUACACACCACAGCUCACGGCAACGCCGGAUCCUCAACCCACUGAGCAAGGCCGGGGAUAGAACCCACAACCUCAUGGUUCCUAGUCGGAUUCGUUAACCACUGCGCCACAAUGGGAACUCCCAACUUUAAUUUUUUAAAUUAAAAUAGAGUUGAUUUACGCCAUGUUUCGUAAACUUCAGCCAACUUUAAUUGUUUAAAUUAAAAUAUAAUUGAUUUACAAUGCUGUGUUUCAAGUGUACAACAAAGUAUAUUCUUUUCCAGAUUCUUUUCCAUUAUAGAUUAUUAUAAGAUAUUGAAUACAAUUCCCUGUGCUAUGCAGUAAGUAAACCUUGGGUGUUUAUCUAUCUGAUAUACAGUGGUGUGUAUAUGCUAAUCUCAUACUCUCACUAUAUAUAUACAUGUAAUACCUGGUAGCACAGCCAGGGGUUGGAAAAAAAACCUGACCGACGACCACUAGCCCACAUCUGUGGUUCACCUUUCCCCGUCUCCAUUU
RNAcentral lists this long non-coding RNA (1931 nucleotides) under Sus scrofa (pig). RNAcentral describes it as "lncRNA (ENSSSCG00040037369.1)". Lineage: Eukaryota; Metazoa; Chordata; Mammalia; Artiodactyla; Suidae. The record is from RNAcentral.